This 89-nucleotide transfer RNA is filed under the name Candidatus Rokubacteria bacterium RIFCSPLOWO2_02_FULL_68_19. Its description in RNAcentral is "tRNA-Leu". It matches the Rfam family "tRNA". From Rfam's summary of the family: Transfer RNA (tRNA) molecules are approximately 80 nucleotides in length. Their secondary structure includes four short double-helical elements and three loops (D, anti-codon, and T loops). Further hydrogen bonds mediate the characteristic L-shaped molecular structure. tRNAs have two regions of fundamental functional importance: the anti-codon, which is responsible for specific mRNA codon recognition, and the 3' end, to which the tRNAs corresponding amino acid is attached (by aminoacyl-tRNA synthetases). tRNAs cope with the degeneracy of the genetic code in two manners: having more than one tRNA (with a specific anti-codon) for a particular amino acid; and 'wobble' base-pairing, i.e. permitting non-standard base-pairing at the 3rd anti-codon position. Lineage: Bacteria; Candidatus Rokuibacteriota. The record is from RNAcentral.
GCCGGGAUGGCGGAACUGGGAUACGCGACGGACUCAAAAUCCGUUGGGGCUCACACCCCGUGGGGGUUCGACUCCCCCUCCCGGCACCA